Molecule: ribosomal RNA, 495 nt
Filed under: uncultured bacterium
Lineage: Bacteria
Description: partial 16S ribosomal RNA
Rfam family: Bacterial small subunit ribosomal RNA
Source: RNAcentral
AUGAACGCUGGCGGCGUGCCUAAUACAUGCAAGUCGAGCGAACGGACGAGAAGCUUGCUUCUCUGAUGUUAGCGGCGGACGGGUGAGUAACACGUGGAUAACCUACCUAUAAGACUGGGAUAACUUCGGGAAACCGGAGCUAAUACCGGAUAAUAUUUUGAACCGCAUGGUUCAAAAGUGAAAGACGGUCUUGCUGUCACUUAUAGAUGGAUCCGCGCUGCAUUAGCUAGUUGGUAAGGUAACGGCUUACCAAGGCAACGAUGCAUAGCCGACCUGAGAGGGUGAUCGGCCACACUGGAACUGAGACACGGUCCAGACUCCUACGGGAGGCAGCAGUAGGGAAUCUUCCGCAAUGGGCGAAAGCCUGACGGAGCAACGCCGCGUGAGUGAUGAAGGUCUUCGGAUCGUAAAACUCUGUUAUUAGGGAAGAACAUAUGUGUAAGUCACUGUGCACAUCUUGACGGUACCUAAUCAGAAAGCCACGGCUAACUACGU